Molecule: non-coding RNA, 2218 nt
Organism: Amborella trichopoda
Lineage: Eukaryota; Viridiplantae; Streptophyta; Magnoliopsida; Amborellales; Amborellaceae
Source: RefSeq, a predicted model, not a curated record
UUCCCCUUCUUAACUUCGUAGUUUCCAUCUCGAUUAAUCUGGUUCUGGGUUUAUUCUACUUCAGUUCUUGCCAUUGGUUUCUGGAAUCAGAAGCGUUGGAUUUUUAGCUGGAGUUGGCAAAUAUGCAUUUUUUUGUGUGGAAAAUGCUCUAGACCUUGGAUGAUGAAGAUAUAUGGUGUUUUCGCUUUCAAACUUGAAAUCUGGUGUCCAAGAAGUUUAAUUGUUGAUUUGAGAGAGAGAUAGAGAGAGAGAGAGAAGUUCAUCUUGUCCUCUUGCCCUUUCGGAAAGCCAGCCUUUGAGAAACAAUGAAAGCAGAGGAGACUACAUUCGAAGAAGGUGACCUUUGAGUAGUAGGAUACUGAGUUGCUGGGGACUCCGAGGGAAUGAUGCACGCCAAACUUAUGUGAUGGUGUGAAGAUGUAGUGGGAGGGACAUGCCUUGGUAAUGGAGCACUCUGAGAAGCCUCAUCAUCCGCAUCAAUGCGGUCGCCUCAUGCUUCUAAUGCCCCAACAUCAUCCUCGAGGUAUAACCAUGAAAGCCAAAUCUUCGAUGCCUGCCGGUACAUUAGUUGAUGUUGGCUUAAGCAAGGUAUGGGUCUUGAACAGUGUUCGCAAAAUCGAACUGGAAUGGUUAACCGGACAUGGGGCCAAAAGUGGUUUAACCGGCCUAACCGGUAAAGCGGCCGAUUCAACCAUUCUAAUCGAGAAGUUAUGGUCGAGCAAGUUCUUGAACGCAGAUUACGAAGAACUGUAAGCAUCGGGAAUGAUUGACAUCUCGAACCAGUUUGGACUAUUCGGCAUCUUUGACAGUGAUAGUGGUGUAACAGCAGCAAAGGCUGCUAAUGAAUGCUGCCUAACGUGGUUGCUGAUUUCCUUUUGAGUCCAGAAAGAAGAGAGAAAGUUGUUUCCCUCCCUCACUCCAUCUGCCACCAAACUCGACUGUAGUGGCGUCUGUCUCGCACAUUAAACAAUCUCUGCCACUAAGGCAUGGUUUCUUCAAUAAUUGCUUCUGAAAAUAGGAUCGUCUAUGUAUUGUGUUUUGUUGGGUCAUCUUGAUGAUUUGAACUCCUUGGAUCUUCAAUGUAUUAUCUAUGGUUGGGUCUCUAAGAACCCACUUCGUUUAGAUGAAAAACAACAGUCUCUUAAGAAGCGUAGGUCCCCUUUAGAAUUAUCCUUCCAUGUGACUGUGGAAUAAUCUUUUGUUAUUGAUUUAUUUUUUCACUUAACAGACAUGUAGGGCAUGACACAUGUAUUUCAAUUGCGUCACUGGUCAUUGACAAGCAGAAGGAAGGAGCAAUCCAAAAAGCCCAAUUAUUUAGGACUAAUUGUCCCCACUUUGUCCUGGUAUGAGGCGCACAUUAGUUCUACUGCAUACAUGGUGGUGAGUGUUUGCUUCUUUUUUUGAUAGAACAUGUAAUUUUUUAUCGGAAAUUGUAUGUAAAGGCAUGUGUAUAAAAUUUUUUAUCGGAAACAUAAAGAAAUACUUUCCACCAUGAACAUGGUAGAAACUAAUGACCUCUUCAUAACCCCGACAAAGUGGGGACAAUUAAUCGUAAAUGAUUGGGCUUUUUGGAUUGCUCCUGCAUUCUGCUUGUUAGUGACCGGUGAUGGUGAUGCAGUACAUGUAUCAUGCCCUAAAUGUAUUUUUAUUUGUCAAGUGAAAAAUUAAAUCAAUAACAAAAUAUUAUUCCAUUCACAUAGAUAAUUCUAGAGGGACUUACACUUCUUAGGAAACCAUUGUGUUUCUUUUGUUGGGUCAUCUUCAAGGAGAUCUUGGUGAAUCAUAAAAAGAUUGUGGCAGCAAAAGUCAUCAAGAAACAAAAAUGCAGCAUGGUAAAUGCAAAGCUUAAAUUUUGUUUGUGGGAUUGACGGUAACCUGAAGUUUGGGAAUGGCCAAAGAUAUUGAUGGUGUGUAAAAUACCUUUGGAGAUGGAGCUCUCCUGAAAUUGGCAACAACGUCACAGGCAGACAAAGAAGGGUUGAUUUUAGUUUGCAUUUUCUAUUUAUUUAUUGCUUAGAGAGGAGUGGAUGGGAUUUAUUACGAGGGGGAAGUUUUGGGCGAUUGAGUUAAAGAAACAUGCGACAAUAAAACUAAGGUGGUAUGAACUCCUGUAAUCUGACUUUUAGCUUCCUUUGGAACAUUUACUUGCUGCUGACAUAUCCAAUAAUAAAAUGUGUCCUUGAAGGUGUCUGUGGGAUUGGACACCACAACGUGGGAA